Molecule: ribosomal RNA, 608 nt
Filed under: uncultured bacterium
Lineage: Bacteria
Description: bacterial SSU rRNA
Rfam family: Bacterial small subunit ribosomal RNA
Source: RNAcentral
GCUAAAACUCAAAGGAAUUGACGGGAGCUCACAGAAGCGGUGGAGCAUGUUGCUUAAUUCGAUGCAACGCGAAGAACCUUAUCCUGGGCUUGACAUGUACGGAUGCCUACUGGGAAACCAGGUCGGUUGCCUUUCGGGGUGAAACGUACACAGGUGCUGCAUGGCUGUCGUCAGCUCGUGUCGUGAGAUGUUGGGUUAAGUCCCGUAACGAGCGAAACCCUUGUCGUUAGUUGCCAGCGCGUUAUGGCGGGGACUCUAGCGAGACUGCCGGUGUUAAACCGGAGGAAGGUGGGGAUGACGUCAAGUCCUCAUGGCCUUUAUGCCCAGGGCUGCAAACGUGCUACAAUGGGUGGGACAAACCGACGCAAAACCGCGAGGUCGAGCAAAUCGGAAAAACCCACCCCCAGUUCGGAUCGCAGUCUGCAACUCGACUGCGUGAAGGUGGAAUCGCUAGUAAUCGCAGAUCAGCUAUGCUGCGGUGAAUGUGUUCCUGAGCUUUGUACACACCGCCCGUCAAGUCAUGGAAGCCGGUAGUACCCGAAGUCGCUGUAUCUCAGCAGUGCCGAAGGUAAGAUUGGUGACUGGGACUAAGUCGUAACAAGGUAGCC